Molecule: ribosomal RNA, 366 nt
Filed under: uncultured archaeon
Lineage: Archaea
Description: bacterial SSU rRNA
Rfam family: Archaeal small subunit ribosomal RNA (bases 1-321)
Source: RNAcentral
GACGUAUGCAGCUCGUCCUCCGGGAUGGUGGGGACACUGUUGGGACCGCCUCUGCUAAAGAGGAGGAAGGAAUGGGCAACGGUAGGUCAGCAUGCCCCGAAUUAUCCGGGCUACACGCGGGCUACAAUGGGUGGGACAAUGGGUAUCGACACCGAAAGGUGAAGGCAAUCUCCUAAACCCAUCCUUAGUUCGGAUUGUGGGCUGCAACUCGCCCACAUGAAGCUGGAAUCUGUAGUAAUCGUGUCUCAACAUGGCACGGUGAAUAUGUCCCUGCGCCUUGCACAAAAACCAGACCGUCUCUGUGCUCCUCGAACAAUUCUUAAUCCCUGCUCGUUGCACAAUAUUUUUUUUUUGUAAAAUCUAUGG